AGUGGGGAAUUUUGGACAAUGGGCGCAAGCCUGAUCCAGCAAUGCCGCGUGAGUGAAGAAGGCCUUCGGGUUGUAAAGCUCUUUUGUCAGGGAAGAAACGGCCUGGGUUAAUACCUUGGGCUAAUGACGGUACCUGAAGAAUAAGCACCGGCUAACUACGUGCCAGCAGCCGCGGUAAUACGUAGGGUGCAAGCGUUAAUCGGAAUUACUGGGCGUAAAGCGUGCGCAGGCGGUUUUGUAAGUCUGUCGUGAAAGCCCCGGGCUUAACCUGGGAAUUGCGAUGGAGACUGCAAGGCUUGAAUCUGGCAGAGGGGGGUAGAAUUCCACGUGUAGCAGUGAAAUGCGUAGAGAUGUGGAGGAACACCGAUGGCGAAGGCAGCCCCCUGGGUCAAGAUUGACGCUCAUGCACGAAAGCGUGGGGAGCAAA
Molecule: ribosomal RNA, 427 nt
Filed under: Massilia timonae
Lineage: Bacteria; Pseudomonadati; Pseudomonadota; Betaproteobacteria; Burkholderiales; Oxalobacteraceae
Description: bacterial SSU rRNA
Rfam family: Bacterial small subunit ribosomal RNA
Source: RNAcentral